AAGCGUGGACGCCAGUCUGCGUGGAGCCGACCUUGAAAUACCACCCUUUAAUGUUUGAUGUUCUAACGUGGAUCCGUAAUCCGGGUUGCGGACAGUGUCUGGUGGGUAGUUUGACUGGGGCGGUCUCCUCCUAAAGAGUAACGGAGGAGCACGAAGGUUGGCUAAUCCUGGUCGGACAUCAGGAGGUUAGUGCAAUGGCAUAAGCCAGCUUGACUGCGAGCGUGACGGCGCGAGCAGGUGCGAAAGCAGGUCAUAGUGAUCCGGUGGUUCUGAAUGGAAGGGCCAUCGCUCAACGGAUAAAAGGUACUCCGGGGAUAACAGGCUGAUACCGCCCAAGAGUUCAUAUCGACGGCGGUGUUUGGCACCUCGAUGUCGGCUCAUCACAUCCUGGGGCUGAAGUAGGUCCCAAGGGUAUGGCUGUUCGCCAUUUAAAGUGGUACGCGAGCUGGGUUUAGAACGUCGUGAGACAGUUCGGUCCCUAUCUGCCGUGGGCGCUGGAGAACUGAGGGGGGCUGCUCCUAGUACGAGAGGACCGGAGUGGACGCAUCACUGGUGUUCGGGUUGUCAUGCCAAUGGCACUGCCCGGUAGCUAAAUGCGGAAGAGAUAAGUGCUGAAAGCAUCUAAGCACGAAACUUGCCCCGAG
RNAcentral lists this ribosomal RNA (644 nucleotides) under Salmonella enterica subsp. enterica serovar Infantis. Its description in RNAcentral is "partial 23S ribosomal RNA". It matches the Rfam family "Bacterial large subunit ribosomal RNA", at positions 2160 to 2803 of the family's 2925-position model. The record is from RNAcentral. Lineage: Bacteria; Pseudomonadati; Pseudomonadota; Gammaproteobacteria; Enterobacterales; Enterobacteriaceae.